UUAAGCAUAUCAAUAAGCGGAGGAAAAGAAACCAACAGGGAUUGCCCUAGUAACGGCGAGUGAAGCGGCAACAGCUCAAAUUUGAAAUCUGGCCUUCGGGUCCGAGUUGUAAUUUGUAGAGGAUGCUUUUGGUGAGGUGCCUUCCGAGUUCCUUGGAACAGGACGCCUUAGAGGGUGAGAGCCCCGUACGGUUGGACACCAAGCCUUUGUAAAGCUCCUUCGACGAGUCGAGUAGUUUGGGAAUGCUGCUCUAAAUGGGAGGUAAAUUUCUUCUAAAGCUAAAUACCGGCCAGAGACCGAUAGCGCACAAGUAGAGUGAUCGAAAGAUGAAAAGUACUUUGAAAAGAGGGUUAAAUAGCACGUGAAAUUGUUGAAAGGGAAGCGUUUAUGACCAGACCUUUGUCAGGCGGAUCAUCCGGUGUUCUUCACCGGUGCACUUCGCCUGGCUCAGGCCAGCAUCGAUUUCUGUAGAGGGAUAAAGACCAUGGGAACGUAGCUCUCUUCGGGGAGUGUUAUAGCCCUAGGUGUAAUACCUUUACGGGGAUCGAGGUUCGCGCUUCUGCAAGGAUGCUGGCGUAAUGGUCAUCAAUGACCCGUCUUGAAACACGGACCAAGGAGUCGAACAUUUAUGCAAGUGUUUGGGUGUUAAACCCUCACGCGUAAUGAAAGUGAACGGAGGUGAGAGCCUUGUAUUAGGUGCAUCAUCGACCGAUCCUGAUGUAUUCGGAAGGAUUUGAGUAAGAGCAUAACUGUUCGGACCCGAAAGAUGGUGAACUAUGCGUGGAUAGGGUGAAGCCAGAGGAAACUCUGGUGGAGGCUCGCAGCGGUUCUGACGUGCAAAUCGAUCGUCAAAUCUGCGCAUGGGGGCGAAAGACUUAUCGAACCAUCUAGUAGCUGGUUACCGCCGAAGUUUCCCUCAGGAUAGCAGUGUUGUAUUCAGUUUUAUGAGGUAAAGCGAAUGAUUAGGGACUCGGGGGCUAUAUAUUGCCUUCAUCCAUUCUCAAACUUUAAAUAUGUAAGAAGCCCUUGUUACUUAAUUGAACGUGGGCAUUCGAAUGUAUCAACACUAGUGGGCCAUUUUUGGUAAGCAGAACUGGCGAUGCGGGAUGAACCGAACGCGAGGUUAAGGUGCCAGAGUAGACGCUCAUCAGACACCACAAAAGGUGUUAGUACAUCUUGACAGCAGGACGGUGGCCAUGGAAGUCGGAAUCCGCUAAGGACUGUGUAACAACUCACCUGCCGAAUGUACUAGCCCUGAAAAUGGAUGGCGCUCAAGCGUCUCACCCAUACCUCGCCCUUAGGGUAGAAACGAUGCCCUAAGGAGUAGGCGGCCGUGGAGGUUAGUGACGAAGC
This 1353-nucleotide ribosomal RNA is filed under the name Diatrype disciformis. RNAcentral describes it as "eukaryotic LSU rRNA". It matches the Rfam family "Eukaryotic large subunit ribosomal RNA", at positions 34 to 1409 of the family's 3401-position model. The record is from RNAcentral. Lineage: Eukaryota; Fungi; Ascomycota; Sordariomycetes; Xylariales; Diatrypaceae.